GGGCGACCGCUGCCUUCUCCUCGGUUGCCAUCAUGCUCCUUUUUGUGUGCGUCGGCGCACAUGCCGGCGGGCGCGGCGACAAGGUCAAGGUGGUGGACCUCGUGGUAGAAACCUGCAAGAACGCUUCGAGCAGCUGCCGCAACAAGCACCUGAACGUCACCCAGGAAUUCUGCGUGCAGACUCUCCGGUCGGACAAAAGGAGCUCCAAGGCCAAGGACCUCCGUGACCUGUCCCUCGUCGCCGUCGACAUCCUCAAGAUCCGUGUGGCAGCUGCCGGCGGCAAGGUGAAGGAAGCACUCCAGAAAGCCAAGAAAGGUACGGACGAGGCACUCGGCCUCAGGUAUUGCCAGGUGGACUACGAUGCCGCUAUCGGCACCCUCGGUCUCUGCGACGCCAUGCUCAGGGACUUCCAUGUCCCCAGGGGCGACGCCGACGGCCCGUGGUCCUUUGAACUGCCCGAGUGUGUGGAGAAGGCGACUGACCAUGUCAGCGACUGCUGGCAUGAUCUUCACAUGGAUAGCCAGACACUUAUCAAUGAAAACGAGGAGCUGAUCAAGCUGGGCGACCUCAACAAUGUCUUGCUAGGGCCAUAUGACUUUGAUAGUUAAUAAUCUAUUUUCUACCGGAAACAAUCUUCAUGUAAACCCAACAUUACUUCCGUUUGAAAUAAUAANN
This 675-nucleotide long non-coding RNA is filed under the name Triticum aestivum (bread wheat). RNAcentral describes it as "long non-coding RNA (TAES_LNC002519)". Lineage: Eukaryota; Viridiplantae; Streptophyta; Magnoliopsida; Poales; Poaceae. The record is from RNAcentral.